AGCCAUGAAUUUCCCUCCCAAAGCAGCGAACUCCCGCUUAUUCACACAGUUCCUCAGCCUCUCUCGCCUUUGCCUCAAGCCCUAAUUUUCCUCAACAUGAAGCUCGUCAGGUUUUUGAUGAAGUUGAACAAUGAAACGGUGUCGAUUGAGCUCAAGAAUGGAACGGUUGUUCACGGCACCAUCACAGGCGUGGAUGUCAGUAUGAACACUCAUCUGAAAACAGUGAAACUUACACUGAAGGGGAAAAAUCCGGUGAGUUUGGAUCACCUUAGUGUGAGGGGUAACAAUAUUCGUUACUAUAUUCUGCCUGACAGCUUAAAUCUUGAGACCUUGCUGGUUGAAGAGACACCUAGGGUGAAACCCAAGAAACCAACAGCUGGGAAGCCUUUGGGACGUGGUCGGGGUCGUGGGCGUGGAAGGGGACGUGGUCGAGGCCGUUAACCCUGUUCCCUUGCUUCCAGGCUCUUGUUCUCGAGGUGAUUUUACGAAUAUUAAGGGAAUCGUAUGGCAUUUACCAUCGUGAAUGAAUCCUGAGAUUCCCAACAUCGGAUGCUAUGAUCUAAUGCUAAUUGGUGAGCAGGUAAUCUUUCUUUUCCCAUUUGUUGCCUUUAGAACGACAG
This is an RNA transcript of Hibiscus syriacus, 620 nucleotides long. It is a transcript of the gene named small nuclear ribonucleoprotein SmD1a-like, with no coding region annotated. The transcript is spliced from 5 exons. The record is from RefSeq and is a predicted model, not a curated record. Lineage: Eukaryota; Viridiplantae; Streptophyta; Magnoliopsida; Malvales; Malvaceae.